This 253-nucleotide ribosomal RNA is filed under the name uncultured bacterium. RNAcentral's name for it is "partial 16S ribosomal RNA". It matches the Rfam family "Bacterial small subunit ribosomal RNA", at positions 524 to 776 of the family's 1533-position model. The record is from RNAcentral.
UACGUAGGGUGCAAGCGCUAAUCGGAAUUACUGGGCGUAAAGCGUACGCAGGCGGCUAUGCAAGACAGGUGUGAAAUCCCCGGGCUCAACCUGGGAACUGCAUUUGUGACUGCAUGGCUAUAGUUUGUCAGAGGGGGGUGGAAUUCCACGUGUAGCAGUGAAAUGCGUAGAGAUGUGGAGGAACACCGAUGGCGAAGGCAGCCCCCUGGGAUGUGACUGACGCUCAUGUACGAAAGCGUGGGGAGCAAACAGG